Molecule: unclassified non-coding RNA, 556 nt
Filed under: Hevea brasiliensis (rubber tree)
Lineage: Eukaryota; Viridiplantae; Streptophyta; Magnoliopsida; Malpighiales; Euphorbiaceae
Source: RNAcentral
GGGAGAAACAGAGUAACGACACUGUCGUUUGUAGUUCAUUGUUUGUUGGAGGGAGGUGGACUACACCACCAGCCCAGAUCAACUCCCUGAUUGCCAGCGAGUCAGAACUCGGAAGACCGGCGCUAGAACCCCAGCCGUUGAUCACCACGCGCUGUCACUUUCUCUCUAGCGUAGCCACACACGCCGGCGCAUGUCGCGUUUUCCCAGCACCCCUCUUGCUGGAUCUUGCACCGGCAGACUCGCCUGAGGAAGAAGGCGCCUCAUCCCAGCCUUGCACCUUUUCCAAUUUUUUUUCUUUUCUUCUAGGCUUCUCCCAAUUGUAGUUGCGAGUACUGUUCAUUCAAUCAAUAAGAGCAGCCUUGGUGUGGAUAAUUGAUAUUCAGACCUGUUCUAAGGUUUUAUUCUUCUCUAGUGAGAUCUCUAGUAAUAUUCAACAUGACUGAAAUGGGAAAUUCGUCCAAUUCAGGUGACUAUAAGCCAAUUUUCUCUUCUUUUUCUAAUUCUCCAACAAUUACUACUGUUAAAUACAAGAUAGCAACAACUAUAUGUCAUGGUC